CCUACGGGCGGCAGCAGUGGGGAAUAUUGCACAAUGGGCGCAAGCCUGAUGCAGCCAUGCCGCGUGUAUGGAGAAGGCCUUCGGGUUGUAAAGUACUUUCAGCGGGGAGGAAGGCGGUGAGGUUAAUAACCUCAUCGAUCGACGUUACCCGCAGAAGAAGCACCGGCUAACUCCGUGCCAGCAGCCGCGGUAAUACGGAGGGUGCAAGCGUUAAUCGGAAUUACUGGGCGUAAAGCGCACGCAGGCGGUCUGUCAAGUCGGAUGUGAAAUCCCCGGGCUCAACCUGGGAACUGCAUUCGAAACUGGCAGGCUAGACUCUUGUAGAGGGGGGUAGAAUUCCAGGUGUAGCGGUGAAAUGCGUAGAGAUCUGGAGGAAUACCGGUGGCGAAGGCGGCCCCCUGGACAAAGACUGACGCUCAGGUGCGAAAGCGUGGGGAGCAAACAGGAUUAGAUACCCGGGUAGUC
This 465-nucleotide ribosomal RNA is filed under the name uncultured bacterium. Its description in RNAcentral is "bacterial SSU rRNA". It matches the Rfam family "Bacterial small subunit ribosomal RNA", at positions 338 to 795 of the family's 1533-position model. The record is from RNAcentral.